RNAcentral lists this ribosomal RNA (254 nucleotides) under uncultured bacterium. Its description in RNAcentral is "partial 16S ribosomal RNA". It matches the Rfam family "Bacterial small subunit ribosomal RNA", at positions 524 to 776 of the family's 1533-position model. The record is from RNAcentral.
GACGUAGGGCGCGAGCGUUGUCCGGAUUUAUUGGGCGUAAAGAGCUCGUAGGCGGCUUGUCGCGUCGACUGUGAAAACCCGUGGCUCAACCAUGUGGUCUGCAGUCGAUACGGGCAGGCUAGAAUUCGGUAGGGGAGACUGGAAUUCCUGGUGUAGCGGUGAAAUGCGCAGAUAUUGGGAGGAACACCAGUGGCGAAGGCGGCUCACUGGACCGGUACUGACGCUGAUGCGCGAAAGCGUGGGGAGCAAACAGG